RNAcentral lists this non-coding RNA (152 nucleotides) under Lepisosteus oculatus (spotted gar). RNAcentral describes it as "Eukaryotic large subunit ribosomal RNA". It matches the Rfam family "Eukaryotic large subunit ribosomal RNA", at positions 3008 to 3160 of the family's 3401-position model. The record is from Rfam by way of RNAcentral. Lineage: Eukaryota; Metazoa; Chordata; Actinopteri; Semionotiformes; Lepisosteidae.
CUGUUGCAAUAGUAAUCCUGCUCAGUACGAGAGGAACCGCAGGUUCAGAUAUCUGGUGUGUGUGCUUGGCUGAGGAGCCAAAGGUGUGGAGCUGCCAUCUGUGAGAUUAUGACUUAACACCUCUAAGUCAGAAUCUCCCCUAAAUGAGAAAG